Molecule: transfer RNA, 75 nt
Filed under: Candidatus Bathyarchaeota archaeon
Lineage: Archaea; Thermoproteati; Candidatus Bathyarchaeota
Description: tRNA-Val
Rfam family: tRNA
About the family: Transfer RNA (tRNA) molecules are approximately 80 nucleotides in length. Their secondary structure includes four short double-helical elements and three loops (D, anti-codon, and T loops).
Source: RNAcentral
GGGCCCGUGGUUCAGCCUGGUUAGGACGCCGCCCUCACACGGCGGAAAUCCCCGGUUCAAAUCCGGGCGGGCCCA